This is a non-coding RNA of Nerophis lumbriciformis (worm pipefish), 432 nucleotides long. NCBI's taxonomy places the organism in Eukaryota, Metazoa, Chordata, Actinopteri, Syngnathiformes, Syngnathidae. The record is from RefSeq and is a predicted model, not a curated record.
UGUUUCCCAGCAUUAUGCAAAUAUCUACGUUGAACAUCUCCAGGGAGAGAGCCUGCCAACGUUGCAAUUAAGGGCGGAACGCUGUGAAACAUAUAUCACCUUGUCGCACACAAGUGGACAUCAUGAUUCCAAAUAGUGCCUUGACUCAUCUGCAGCACAGUGCUCGGACGGCGUCUACAAGGGGACACAUGGCACCUUGUGAUCGGACAUCCUUCUUGUAUUACGAAGCACCGCCCCACAAGACGUCACAGCCAGAUUGGAUUCCCGUUGAAUGCUACGUCCCAAGGUGGAAACUUUAUCUGUGCACGCAAAGGAAGAUACUGCACGUGGUCACAGGACUCGGACACAAUGUUGACCUCAGCUACAUGGAAGGCGCCGCUAAUUAGCGCAGCCGCGUGCACGUCUUUGAUAUGUGGAGUGUUUCUGAGGAGG